UGCGAUGAAUCGCCGCCGCGUUCCGCGUAUAAAAACGCGGGGCGAGGAAAGUCCGGGCUUCGCAGGGCACGAUGCCGGGUAACGCCCGGGCCCGGCCGUAUAAUCAAAAGUUAUGCUGCCGGGACAGAAAGCGCAACAGAAAAAAUACCGCCAUGCCGUAUAAUCAAAAGUUGUAUGGCAUGGUAAGGGUGAAAUGGCGGGGUAAAAGCCCACCGCGGAGCCGGUAACGGCUCCGGCAUUGCAAGCCUCAUCGGAAGCAAAGCCAAACAGCGGCUGGAUUGCCCGUCCGGAAGCCGCGGGUAGGCUGCAAUGACCGCCGCCGCAAGGCGGCGGCACAGAUAGAUGGCGGCGCGGUAUAUGCCGUAACAGAAUCCGGCUUAUGAUUCAUCGCUUUUU
Molecule: RNase P RNA, 396 nt
Filed under: Spirochaetaceae bacterium
Lineage: Bacteria; Pseudomonadati; Spirochaetota; Spirochaetia; Spirochaetales; Spirochaetaceae
Description: RNase P RNA component class A
Rfam family: Bacterial RNase P class A
About the family: Ribonuclease P (RNase P) is a ubiquitous endoribonuclease, found in archaea, bacteria and eukarya as well as chloroplasts and mitochondria. Its best characterised activity is the generation of mature 5'-ends of tRNAs by cleaving the 5'-leader elements of precursor-tRNAs.
Source: RNAcentral